Brassica rapa (field mustard) is the source of this 2442-nucleotide long non-coding RNA. RefSeq lists it as uncharacterized. NCBI's taxonomy places the organism in Eukaryota, Viridiplantae, Streptophyta, Magnoliopsida, Brassicales, Brassicaceae. The record is from RefSeq and is a predicted model, not a curated record.
UUCAGAAAUUGUUUUGAUAUUACCUGUGCUUUUUUGUUACUAUGAAUUGUAAAAGUUGAUGUUUUAUUGUUUUGGUAUGGGUGUAUAUAUAGGAAGAUGUGAGGGUAAGUUUGUGGUAUAGGUGAUAUAUGAUAUUAUUAAGGUAAAAUGUCAAAAAUAGUUUAAAAUCUGGGUACUAUUCCAAUUAUGGGAUGUCCCAUAUAUUUAAUAUUCAUUGUUAUAAUUACUAUUUUGUAAGAUAUAUAUAUAUAUAUAUAUAUAUAUAUAUAUAUAUAUAUAUAUGUCAAUGCCUUUAUUAUUAAUUGGAUCUAAAAAAUAUUAAUAUAAAUCAUGAAGAUAUAGUUUUUUUUUAACUAAAUCUCGGAUAACAUCACAUUCAUUGUUCCACUAAAUUUCUUUAUAACAUUGUCCUAGUAAGAUUUAAAUUUAUGGAAAUCCAUUUUUUAUUUAAAUUAAUAAAUAAAUCUGUUUUUUGUUUAUUAUAUUUUUCCCAAACUUGUAAUUAAUAAUUUUCUUUAAAGUAGUCCAAUAUCUUUGUCAAUUUAUUUCUUCUCUUUGUUAUUGCAAUAUUUUCUGUUAUGUAUCCUGGAUAAAUUUUAAAGAGAUUUAUAAUAUAAAAAAAUGUUUUCUGGGUACUAUCCCAAUUAUGGAAUAACAUAUGUUUUAUAUUCAUUGUUAUAAUUUACUAUUUUGUAAGAUAUAAAUAUAUAUGUCAAUGCUUUUAUUAUUAAUUGGAACUAAAAAGAUUAAUAUAAAUAAUGAAGAUAUAGUUUUUUUUAACUAAAACCCGGAUAACAUCACAUUCAUUAUUCCACUAAAUUUUUUUAUCAAACAUUGCCCUACUAAGAUUUAAAUUUAUGGAAAUACAAUUUUACCUUUAAAUUAAUAAAGAAAUCUGUUUUUUUUUUCCAAACUUGUAACUGCUAAUUUUCUUUAAAGUAAUCCAAUAUCUUUGUCAAUUUAUUUCUUCUUGUAAUUACUAAUUUUCUAUGUUGUGGUCAAUUUGAUGAACAAUUACAAUACUUAUAGCUUUAGUAGACAGAAGAAGCUUAUUCUCUCCAUCUCAAGUUGGUUAGGAGGAAGAAAGGACUUCCUCGGUAUCACAUAUCUCGUCGUUGUUACCUCUUCAUUUAUCAUAUCCAUCAUCUUCAUGCUGCUCCAUUUGAAAAAUCCAAGACCUUAUGGGGACAAUUCUUGGAACAAGAAGAGUCUUUCGGGUUAAGAAGCUGUUGCAUUGUUUCUCUGAUACAUUCCCAUUCCAGGUUAAUAUUAUAUUCUUGCAAACUAAAGAGCUGUUGUAUACGUGAUCAUAUAGAUAUAUAGGAGUAUAACCAAUUUAUGAGCCUAUAGUUCUAGAAAACUGAUAAGGUUCCUCUGUUUUUUCUAUGACCGUUCUGUUUUUGGGUUCUAAAGAUAAACUGUUUUGACCCUUUUUCAACUCUUAAACCUCUAAUGCUAUGCAUUUGUUUUGGAUACUAUCUGUUUUUAGAGUUUCUAAAUUUAGCUAGCCUAACAAAAGCAUCGCAUUGGCGAUCUGCAAACCGCACAUAUUGUUCUUCUGACAUCCCGAAAAACAUUCAUGUUUUCUUCUCAUUUUCCAUAUUUGUCACCUUUAGUCUUCUCUAUUUAACCUCUCCCAUUCGUCUCCUCCAUUUCAUAAGCUCUCCCGUCGAAAGAUCUUUUCAUUUAUUAAGUCAAAAUCACCUUUCUUCCCUCCUCAGCCGCAAAAGAAACACACCGCUUCUUAUUCUUUCUCAAACUAAACCUGCGGUUUGCUUCUACAUUGUGAAAAGAAAACUAGGUGAAAGAAGGGGGAGAAAAAAGAUGGCCAAGGGAAUGAGGUUUGUUCAAACAUGGGGAGAGGUAGCACCAAGGCUUAUUGUGUCUCACAAGAAACAACAACAACAUUUCUCAAACUUGCCAAAGCUUGAGACUAUUGUUGAAGAAGGUUGCUGCAUUGAUAGUUUUGCUGUUAGGGCGCCUAAGAGGAUUGUGAUCUUUCUUCCUCUUGUAUUAUCAUUGAUUAUGUACAUUGUGUUGCACAAGAGUAUCAAAGAUUAUUGAUUCUUAACUGUCUUCCUUUUCUGUUGGUUAUGCGACUUUUUAAUGUGUGAUGGUGAGAAGAAGAGAAUGUUCUCACUUCUUAUAGAGAGAGAUUCAGUUCUCCGGUAAAAUAAAAAUUUUAAUUUAAUAAACAAGUUGUAGUUUGGGUUUCCCAGUUUAAUUUGAGUUUGCUUUUACAAUAAUUUGAUAUAGAAUUAUAUAAAUCAUUGUUUUGUGAAUAAAAUUACCAAGAAAAACUAAUUACAGAAAUAAACAAAUUUAAGUCGAAGAUGAUGGGUAAAAUGCUCCAAGAGAAUGAGAAAAGAAUAAAUACAUUAUUAUGCUUUUCAUCUGCUAAGAUAAGGCAAUGCAUAUUUUCAAAAAAAAAAAAAAAGAUAA